GACGAACGCUGGCGGCGUGCUUAACACAUGCAAGUCGAACGGAAAGGCCCUGCUUUUGUGGGGUGCUCGAGUGGCGAACGGGUGAGUAACACGUGAGUAACCUGCCCUUGACUUUGGGAUAACUUCAGGAAACUGGGGCUAAUACCGGAUAGGAGAUCCUGCUGCAUGGUGGGGGUUGGAAAAUUUCGGCGGUUGGGGAUGGACUCGCGGCUUAUCAGCUUGUUGGUGGGGUAGUGGCUUACCAAGGCUUUGACGGGUAGCCGGCCUGAGAGGGUGACCGGCCACAUUGGGACUGAGAUACGGACCAGACUCCUACGGGAGGCAGCAGUGGGGAAUAUUGCACAAUGGGGGGAAGUCUGAUGCAGCAACGCCGCGUGCGGGAUGACGGCCUUCGGGUUGUAAACCGCUGUCGCCUGUGACGAAGCGUGAGUGACGGUAAUGGGUAAAGAAGCACCGGCUAACUACGUG
RNAcentral lists this ribosomal RNA (468 nucleotides) under uncultured bacterium. Its description in RNAcentral is "partial 16S ribosomal RNA". It matches the Rfam family "Bacterial small subunit ribosomal RNA", at positions 28 to 507 of the family's 1533-position model. The record is from RNAcentral.